Molecule: ribosomal RNA, 301 nt
Filed under: uncultured bacterium
Lineage: Bacteria
Description: partial 16S ribosomal RNA
Rfam family: Bacterial small subunit ribosomal RNA
Source: RNAcentral
CAGUCGCCGCGGUAAUACGUAGGGUGCAAGCGUUAAUCGGAAUUACUGGGCGUAAAGCGUGCGCAGGCGGUUAUAUAAGACAGAUGUGAAAUCCCCGGGCUCAACCUGGGAACUGCAUUUGUGACUGUAUAGCUAGAGUACGGCAGAGGGGGAUGGAAUUCCGCGUGUAGCAGUGAAAUGCGUAGAUAUGCGGAGGAACACCGAUGGCGAAGGCAAUCCCCUGGGCCUGUACUGACGCUCAUGCACGAAAGCGUGGGGAGCAAACAGGAUUAGAUACCCCUGUAGUCCCUGUAUCUUAUAC